UUAAAGAAACAAAAUAAAAUAACACAUAUGACACUAGAGUAGACAUAAUUUUUUUAUUAGAAUAAAUCAACAUUCAGUAUAUUGUAUGUGGAUUACAGACGUUCAUCUUUCUUCAGGGAUUUCUUUUACUGAUCUGUUCUAUCGAUGUUAUUUGACUCUGUCAUUUGGCAUUUCGGAUAUAAGCAUACUCCGCUUUAUUGCAUAAUUUUGUCUGACAAAUAGGCUAUGCAAAUAACCGGA
Molecule: long non-coding RNA, 240 nt
Filed under: Mytilus galloprovincialis (Mediterranean mussel)
Lineage: Eukaryota; Metazoa; Mollusca; Bivalvia; Mytilida; Mytilidae
Source: RNAcentral